AGAACAAAGUUCUUCCGCCGGGGGCCAAGCACCAGGCAUACAGGCAGAUCUCCUUCCAAAUGUGUUCAGAAUCCAAAACCAGCCGAGCUCAAACGGUGGAGGGCGGAGGUCAAAGCCAAAAUGCCGAAGCGGCAUCGAGCGACGACGACUGCACGUGAACGGAAAAAGUUGCCGGCAGAGACGCGUGUCGAAGUGCGACCACAAGGGGGCGCUCCAGCCGGCAGCCAUUCCAACAAAUUCUUCAACCUGCACUUGGCGAACACGACCCCGCCCUGAGUGUUCCCUCGUGGGCGGCCUGACAACUUGCGGUCUUGGGUUCCAUUCCGGCCUCGACCCGACGUUGCGCCGGAAUGUCUCCGUUGCGUCCCCCGUCCUCAACAGAAGCUCACGUUUGCAACCCCCUCGGCCGGCGCAGAGCUGCGAGUUUUCUUUCUAUGCAUAAUUCUGAUGAAAUUGUACAAAUUUGAAACUCGCCAUAAGCAGGUACAUUGCAAGAGCUUUGCAUCUAUAAUAAUUUUUUCCCCAUUUUAUUUAAACGUAAUAAAAUCAAGCAAUUGGGAUAAGUAAUCAAAUAUCUUUCAUUGAAUUUCAAAGUGAAUUGUUACAAGGUGAAGCAGAUCUGAAUUACAAAACAUACACAUUUAAAACGCGCUCACUGCAUUUUAGACAGACUCAACGCCCUGCACGGGGUUUGAACCACCAACCUCUCGGUUCCAAAGCCACAUCGCGACGCCCUCACCCGUCACCGAGUUGACAGU
Syngnathoides biaculeatus (alligator pipefish) is the source of this 758-nucleotide long non-coding RNA. RefSeq lists it as uncharacterized. Lineage: Eukaryota; Metazoa; Chordata; Actinopteri; Syngnathiformes; Syngnathidae. The transcript is spliced from 3 exons. The record is from RefSeq and is a predicted model, not a curated record.